Molecule: ribosomal RNA, 328 nt
Filed under: uncultured eukaryote
Lineage: Eukaryota
Description: partial 18S ribosomal RNA
Rfam family: Eukaryotic small subunit ribosomal RNA
Source: RNAcentral
CCCUUAGAUGUCCUGGGCCGCACGCGCGUUACACUGAUGCAUUCAACGAGCUUAUAACCUUGGCCGAGAGGCCUGGGCAAUCUUGUUAACGUGCAUCGUGAUAGGGAUAGAUUAUUGAAAUUAUUAAUCUUGAACGAGGAAUUCCUAGUAAACGCAGAUCAUCAAUCUGCAUUGAUUACGUCCCUGCCCUUUGUACACACCGCCCGUCGCACCUACCGAUUGGAUGGUCCGGUGAAGCCUCGGGAUUGUGGUUCUUGCCGCUUUAUUGUGGCGUUACCGCGAGAACUUGUCUAAACCUUAUCAUCUAGAGGAAGGUGAAGUCGUAACA